Molecule: non-coding RNA, 76 nt
Organism: Myotis brandtii (Brandt's bat)
Lineage: Eukaryota; Metazoa; Chordata; Mammalia; Chiroptera; Vespertilionidae
Source: Rfam
GGUGGUUCUUGGGUGAUGCACCCCAGAAUCAGGCUCCCUCCUCUCUGGUUCCAGGUGCGUCACCCAGAGAACUGCA